AAGUGGCAGCCACCUUGGGGCUGUCCUUCAGGGCUGUGCAGGCUGACACUUUCAAUGUGUAAGACACCACUGGAGCUUUGCAGGGCACAGCUUGCACAAGUAUGAGCCAGCCCUGAGGGCGCAGAUUGUCUCAGAUACCCUGAGAGACGAGUUCCCCGAGGACAGUUCAAGGUCUCACCAACACCUAAAAAAUCUCCUGAUGAGCAGAAUAAUUUACAGGACAUGACCUUCCAUUCUCAUUCCUGGAGAUCACUGCUAUGGAUGGAGAAGGAGGAAAGGAUAAAUCCAGCUGUCAAGAGCUGGGCUGACGUUGAGGAGCUUCUGUGUCAUCUGUGACUCCU
This 341-nucleotide long non-coding RNA is filed under the name Homo sapiens (human). Its description in RNAcentral is "HSALNT0394660". Lineage: Eukaryota; Metazoa; Chordata; Mammalia; Primates; Hominidae. The record is from RNAcentral.